AAUGGUGGGAGGGAAGGAGAAAUUUGCGGAAAGGCAGAAAAGGUCUGAGGGGAGUAGAUGUGACAGGAGGCAAAAGGGAGUAACAUGAGAGGGGGGGAGGGAGGGAGGGAGGGUGUGGAGGAUUUCUUUCUGGGACGGCUGAGGCACUGAAAUGCUGCAGUGAAGCCACAUGGCUAAGAUCACUGCCACGCAUGCACACACAGCGGACACACUCGCACACACAGAAGGUCGUAACCUUUCCUCUACCAUACCAACAUCAUCUUCCUGGAUGGGACACGACCCCCCCACCACACACACAUACACACACACACACACCGUCUGAUUAACCUUCCUAUCACCCAACGUUUCGGCCCGCUCCAUCCUCUCCUCUCCCUCCCUCCCUCCCUCCCUCUCCCCCUUUCAUCCUCUCUCUCUUUGCAGCAGCCGGUGAGUGAGCACAUUUCAGAGAACAUCCUGAGUGGCCCUGUCUCAGGCUCAUCUUCAGUUGUGUCACCAUCCGAGCAUCUUCUCUCUAUUUUACUCUUCUCACCAUGACUCUUUUUUACCCUUGUCUUGGGUUCACCAUCUCAACCGUGUUGUCUUUCUGUGGUUUCCACGUCUUCUUUAACCGCGCUGGUCGUCCCAUCUGACAUUUGGUCUGGAACAAGAUAAAAUACGAAGUCUGUUUUUAGCAUGUGACCAAGCCAUACUGCUGAGCCAAUGUCUAGCUUGGAUUUCAUUACCAUGACAAUGGGGCUGCGCUAGAACUUUGCGACUGGUGAGUCUUUUCUACCUCUCCUCAUUUUGACUUGUUAAUUGUUCUUCUACAAAUUGCAACGGUAUUUCCAACCAUAAAGUGUGAAAUGAAAUGAUUAAGUAGAUUUUCUAUUAAAUACCUUGUUCUCAAAAUGUGCAAAUGAGCAAUUCAUUUUUCUUUUCCAAAUUACAAUAUCACCAUUCAUGUGUCUGCUGCAUGCGCCAUGUGUAAUUCGGCAGUUUUAACUCAUAUAAUAUCCUUUCAUUAAAGUCAUUAAAAAUGUAUCUGUAAGAUUUUGAUUGGAAUGAAAUCUUUACAUCAGACAAAUAUGAUGAAAUACUUUAUUGGUGACUUUUUUCAACAUUCACGGUGCUUAAAUUAAGGAUACAUCCUUAGCAUACAAUCACCAUGCCAUGUUCUGAUUACAAAUCUACACGUUCCAGUAAACAAUUUACGUAACUUUUUAUAUGCUUUUCUCCUUUAUAGCUUGUUUUACAUGCUCUCAAAUAUAAUAUGAU
This is a long non-coding RNA of Syngnathus acus (greater pipefish), 1254 nucleotides long. RefSeq lists it as uncharacterized. The record is from RefSeq and is a predicted model, not a curated record. NCBI's taxonomy places the organism in Eukaryota, Metazoa, Chordata, Actinopteri, Syngnathiformes, Syngnathidae. The transcript has 2 exons.